Molecule: long non-coding RNA, 357 nt
Filed under: Nicotiana tabacum (common tobacco)
Lineage: Eukaryota; Viridiplantae; Streptophyta; Magnoliopsida; Solanales; Solanaceae
Description: long non-coding RNA (NTAB_LNC001228)
Source: RNAcentral
CCUAUUACUAUAAAUCACCACCACCUCCAUCGCCAUCACCUCCACCUCCAUAUUACUACAAGUCUCCACCACCGCCAUCUCCAUCACCGCCACCACCCUAUUACUACAAGUCUCCUCUUUCACCGUCGCCUUCUCCUCCACCUCCAUACUAUUACCACUCUCCACCCCCUCCAGUAAAGUCUCCUCCUCCUGCCUAUUACUACAGCUCACCUCCUCCACCCGUGAAAUCACCACCUCCACCAGUAUACAUUUAUGCUUCUCCGCCACCUCCAAUCCACUACUAAGUAUUUCUAAGAGCUCAGCCAUUCUCCACAAUCAAUCAAGUGAGUUGCUGUUUGAAUUGUGUAUUCUUUUUUG